Molecule: ribosomal RNA, 588 nt
Filed under: uncultured bacterium
Lineage: Bacteria
Description: bacterial SSU rRNA
Rfam family: Bacterial small subunit ribosomal RNA
Source: RNAcentral
UCGAGCGGAAACGAGUUAACUGAACCUUCGGGGAACGUUAACGGCGUCGAGCGGCGGACGGGUGAGUAAUGCCUGGGAAAUUGCCCUGAUGUGGGGGAUAACCAUUGGAAACGAUGGCUAAUACCGCAUAAUAGCUUCGGCUCAAAGAGGGGGACCUUCGGGCCUCUCGCGUCAGGAUAUGCCCAGGUGGGAUUAGCUAGUUGGUGAGGUAAUGGCUCACCAAGGCGACGAUCCCUAGCUGGUCUGAGAGGAUGAUCAGCCACACUGGAACUGAGACACGGUCCAGACUCCUACGGGAGGCAGCAGUGGGGAAUAUUGCACAAUGGGCGCAAGCCUGAUGCAGCCAUGCCGCGUGUGUGAAGAAGGCCUUCGGGUUGUAAAGCACUUUCAGUCGUGAGGAAGGUAGUGUAGUUAAUAGCUGCAUUAUUUGACGUUAGCGACAGAAGAAGCACCGGCUAACUCCGUGCCAGCAGCCGCGGUAAUACGGAGGGUGCGAGCGUUAAUCGGAAUUACUGGGCGUAAAGCGCAUGCAGGUGGUUAGUUAAGUCAGAUGUGAAAGCCCGGGGCUCAACCUCGGAACUGCAUUUG